AGUUUGAGUGUGUGUGUGUGUGUGUGUGUGUGUGUGUGUGUACACACAUACAAACACACACACACACUGACAUU
RNAcentral lists this microRNA precursor (74 nucleotides) under Podarcis lilfordi (Lilford's wall lizard). The record is from RNAcentral. Lineage: Eukaryota; Metazoa; Chordata; Lepidosauria; Squamata; Lacertidae.